GACGAACGCUGGCGGCGUGCUUAACACAUGCAAGUCGAACGGAAAGACCCUGCUUUUGUGGGGUGCUCGAGUGGCGAACGGGUGAGUAACACGUGAGUAACCUGGCCUUGACUUUGGGAUAACUUCAGGAAACUGGGGCUAAUACCGGAGAGGAGCUCCUGCUGCAUGGUGGUGGUUGGAACGUUUCGGCGGUUGGGGAUGGACUGGCGGCUUAUCAGCUUGUUGGUGGAGUAGUGGCUUACCAAGGCUUUGACGGGUAGCCGGCCUGAGAGGGUGACCGGCCACAUUGGGACUGAGAUACGGACCAGACUGGUACGGGAGGCAGCAGUGGGGAAUAUUGCACAAUGGGCGGAAGCCUGAUGAAGCAACGCCGCGUGCGGGAAGACGGCCUUCGGGUUGUAAACCGCUUUCGCCUGUGACGAAGCGUGAGUGACGGUAAUGGGUAAAGAAGCACCGGCUAACUACGUG
Molecule: ribosomal RNA, 468 nt
Filed under: uncultured bacterium
Lineage: Bacteria
Description: partial 16S ribosomal RNA
Rfam family: Bacterial small subunit ribosomal RNA
Source: RNAcentral